UGGGGAAUAUUGCACAAUGGGCGCAAGCCUGAUGCAGCCAUGCCGCGUGUAUGAAGAAGGCCUUCGGGUUGUAAAGUACUUUCAGCGGGGAGGAAGGGAGUAAAGUUAAUACCUUUGCUCAUUGACGUUACCCGCAGAAGAAGCACCGGCUAACUCCGUGUCAGCAGCCGCGGUAAUACGGAGGGUGCAAGCGUUAAUCGGAAUUACUGGGCGUAAAGCGCACGCAGGCGGUUUGUUAAGUCAGAUGUGAAAUCCCCGGGCUCAACCUGGGAACUGCAUCUGAUACUGGCAAGCUUGAGUCUCGUAGAGGGGGGUAGAAUUCCAGGUGUAGCGGUGAAAUGCGUAGAGAUCUGGAGGAAUACCGGUGGCGAAGGCGGCCCCCUGGACAAAGACUGACGCUCAGGUGCGAAAGCGUGGGGAGCAAACAGG
RNAcentral lists this ribosomal RNA (429 nucleotides) under Chloroflexota bacterium. RNAcentral describes it as "Chloroflexi bacterium partial 16S ribosomal RNA". It matches the Rfam family "Bacterial small subunit ribosomal RNA", at positions 355 to 776 of the family's 1533-position model. Lineage: Bacteria; Bacillati; Chloroflexota. The record is from RNAcentral.